This 256-nucleotide ribosomal RNA is filed under the name uncultured bacterium. RNAcentral describes it as "partial 16S ribosomal RNA". It matches the Rfam family "Bacterial small subunit ribosomal RNA", at positions 521 to 776 of the family's 1533-position model. The record is from RNAcentral.
UAAUACGUAGGGAGCGAGCGUUAUCCGGAUUUAUUGGGUGUAAAGGGUGCGUAGACGGGACAGCAAGUUAGUUGUGAAAUCCCUCGGCUUAACUGAGGAACUGCAACUAAAACUGUUAUUCUUGAGUGUUGGAGAGGAAAGUGGAAUUCCUAGUGUAGCGGUGAAAUGCGUAGAUAUUAGGAAGAACACCAGUGGCGAAGGCGACUUUCUGGACAAUAACUGACGUUGAGGCACGAAAGUGUGGGGAGCAAACAGG